CAGUUAUUAUACCGUAGACAGUAGGUGCUUAUAAGCUUAAUUUCCUACCGAGGGAUUUACCGAAACUCUAUGCGUAUAAUAGGCUUAGAGUUUUUUAUGU
Molecule: small RNA, 100 nt
Filed under: bovine gut metagenome
Description: Ribosomal protein L10 leader
Rfam family: Ribosomal protein L10 leader
About the family: This family is a putative r-protein leader autoregulatory structure found in B. subtilis and other low-GC Gram-positive bacteria. It is located in the 5' untranslated regions of mRNAs encoding ribosomal proteins L10 and L12 (rplJ-rplL). A Rho-independent transcription terminator structure that is probably involved in regulation is included at the 3' end.
Source: RNAcentral